CCUGAGACUAGCAUAUCAAUAAGCGGAGGAAAAGAAACUAACAAGGAUUCCCCUAGUAACUGCGAGUGAAGCGGGAAAAGCUCAAAUUUAAAAUCUGGUGGCCUUUGGCCAUCCGAAUUGUAAUUUAGAGAAGCGUCUUCCGCGCUGGACCGUGCACAAGUCUCCUGGAAUGGAGCGUCAUAGAGGGUGAGAAUCCCGUCUUUGGCACGGAUGCCCAGUGCUUCUGUGAUGCGCUCUCGACGAGUCGAGUUGUUUGGGAAUGCAGCUCAAAAUGGGUGGUGAACUCCAUCUAAAGCUAAAUAUUGGCGAGAGACCGAUAGCGAACAAGUACCGUGAGGGAAAGAUGAAAAGCACUUUGGAAAGAGAGUGAAACAGUACGUGAAAUUGUUGAAAGGGAAACGCUUGAAGUCAGUCGCGUCGACCGAGACUCAGCCUUGCCUUGGCUUGGUGUGCUUCUUGGCUCGACGGGUCAGCAUCAAUUUUGAUCCUCGGAUAAUGGCAAGGGAAAGGUAGCACCUUUUUAGGUGUGUUAUAGUCCUCUGUCGCAUGUGAGGGUCGGGAUUGAGGAACUCAGCAUGCACCUCCGGGUGUCGGGGCCUUGGCCCACGUUACAUGCUUAGGAUGCUGGCAUAAUGGCUUUAAACGACCCGUCUUGAAACACGGACCAAGGAGUCUAACAUACCCGCGAGUGUUCGGGUGGAAAACCCGUGCGCGCAAUGAAAGUAAAAGUUGGGACCUCUGUCGUGGAGGGCACCGACGCCCGGACCAGACCUUCUGUGACGGCUCUGCGGUAAAGCGUGUAUGUUGGGACCCGAAAGAUGGUGAACUAUGCCUGAAUAGGGUGAAGCCAGAAGAAACUCUGGUGGAGGCUCGUAGCGAUUCUGACGUGCAAAUCGAUCGUCAAAUUUGGGUAUAGGGGCGAAAGACUAAUCGAACCAUCUAUUACCUGGUUCCUGCCGAAUCUCCCCACAGAUAAAA
RNAcentral lists this ribosomal RNA (978 nucleotides) under Russula sp. RNAcentral describes it as "partial large subunit ribosomal RNA". It matches the Rfam family "Eukaryotic large subunit ribosomal RNA", at positions 27 to 982 of the family's 3401-position model. The record is from RNAcentral. Lineage: Eukaryota; Fungi; Basidiomycota; Agaricomycetes; Russulales; Russulaceae.